Molecule: long non-coding RNA, 1553 nt
Filed under: Diabrotica virgifera virgifera (western corn rootworm)
Lineage: Eukaryota; Metazoa; Arthropoda; Insecta; Coleoptera; Chrysomelidae
Description: uncharacterized LOC126880421
Source: RNAcentral
ACAAAUGUCAUCAAAUGUCAUAUGUGAAUUAUUUAUUAUUUUUUUAUUAUAAUUAAUGUACUUGUAGCAAAUACAUUAGACUGUAAUUAGAGUCUAAUUAGCUUUAAUUAGAGUCUUAAUUAGUAGUUUGUAGGCUUAUUUUCUUUUAAAAUGCCUCAUCACGGUUCUGUGCAGUAAUUGAUUGUUUGCUUACAUGGAGAAAUAGUGAAGUGAAAUUCUUUCGUUUUCCUAAACUCUAAACCCCAAAUGAGGAUAGACAAAAGAAAUAAAUGGAUUAAAGCUAUUCGGAAACAAAAUCUAUAUGGAGCGAACUGGAUUCCAAGACAUACUGAUAGAAUAUGCAGUGCACAUUUUGUUGGAAAUAUGACAUCAAAUGAUCUCAUCCCAGUUAUGUACCAACAAUAUUUCCAAAGGAUUACAAACCAAAGAUAAUUAAUCCAGAUGCUACUUUAAACAGGUUUAAUCGAUUGAAUGAACGCAGUGCUAAAAAAGUUAUUGAAAUGAACUCUUCAAAGAUUUCUAUAGGAAUAUGGUUAGAUAAGUGUGGAUUUAUUGGAGGCAGCCCUGAUGGAUUAUGUGAAGAUGACUACCAUCAACACCAAGUGCCUUUACAAGUUGAGGGAGUCCAACAAAUCUUUGGUUAAUGAUAUGUAUUAUAGGAACUAUAUCGUAUAUGUUAAUGAAAAAAAAAAUACAAGUAGUACUGAACACAAAGUGCGGUUAAUACAACCAAAUUCAAGGCAAAUUUAACAAAAAGGAAGGUGUGCCACUUAGUGAUAUUAAUGCCUUCAGAAUCGAUCAUGUAUGAUGUCAGUGUCGAAAGAUUCUGGGAAAACAAUAUAAUAUUAUUAAAAACAUUUUAUUUGAAUAAAUAAGUAUACAGCAGAACCUCGAUUAUCCGUCAGGGCACCGGACCAAGGGUAUGACGGAUGAUUGAAAAGACGGUUAACAGAACAUUAAAAAAAAAUUAAAAAUUCAUAGUACAACUUUCAAAUUUCAUUUGUAUGUUUUGUUUGACAAUAUAAGAGGGAUUUGUGUUGUACAAUCGAAUCAAUUUAAAAUAUUCUGAAGUCUUUUGUUUGUUUUACUGUUGCUUCACAUUUUGCGACGGCUGAAUUUCUUAAUCAGCGUAAGAUCACAUGCAAUCUACUUUAUUGGCUUCUUCUUGUUGAGAAUACCACUCGAUGAAUUAUUGCACGUGCAAUGCAGCUUCUCUAGGUUAUUGAGGCAAAUCUUUGUCAGUUACAAUAGGUUCAUCAACAUAUCUACAAUCAAAUUACAAGUCUGUGUCAGCUUCUGAAUCUGUUUGGUCCGCCUUUGUUGCCAUUUCAAUGAUUCCUUUAUCUGUCAGCAAUAAAUAGCCGUUUGUGUCCUCAUCACAAAUCAAAUUAACUUUUUUUAUUUUUUUCAAUUAAAAUUUUUGCUUAUGUAAUCAAUACAACGUCUGUAUGUACCCUGACGGUUAACAGAGGUGACGGUUAAUGGAGAGACGGAUAAUCGAGGUUCCACUGUAUUUAUAGCAUUUUCAUGUGGAAAUAAAACACUUUAAAAUA